UUUGAGAUCAGUAACUGCCAUUAGUCGAAUGGAAAAUAUGUUAUUGUACAAGCCUCCCUACUUGAAACUGUUUCCAUAGGACAAGACACUGAUUUCUUUAAGGUGAAAACGCACGAUCCAUGUGCCCAAUCAAUCAAAUUCAAUGCUUUGAAUCUUAAAGAAUUUAAUUACUGUGGUUAUGGUCUGUCACAUAAAAUUCAUCUUCCUGCUUGUGAUUCUGUAAAAAUCACAUUUUUUAGAAGUUAGCAAAGUAGAAUCAGAGGUUUGACGCAUUCCUUUUACCCUUCUCCUUUUCCAGCAAUUCCUUUUACCCUUUUAUAUUAUUUUUUUCUACUACAUGGAACUGUGUAUGUUUGGUUAUCUUGAUUAACAGUUGCACACUUCAGUUUACUUUUACAAAAUUAAGCGUUUCUUUAUGUCAUGCUCAUGCAGGGUCUACCACUAGGCCAUUUACCUGUAUUUUCAGUGUUGAGUCAUUUGGAGCUUGGCCUAGUUACUAGUAUUGAAGUUAUUAUAGGCUUUCUUUAAAACUCACCAGUUCUGAAAACCUUAGAUCUGAAGAAGGGAGUACCCAAAUUCACAAAAGAGAUCCUGAAAUCUAUUGCUGUGCCCGGUUGCUUGGUCUCUUCUCUUCCCAAUUCUAAGGUUUUGAAAGAAUUUAAGAAUAAGUUGUACUCAUUUAAGAAAUGUUCCUCUUUUCUUAUCGUUGAGAUGUCAUAUGAUUAUUAAGUUACAGAAAUAGUAUGGUUGACGAUGCAAAGAGGUCUUAAUAAUGCAAGAAAAUAUGUAUAUCUUGUCAUCACCAGAAGCUAAAAAGAGAAAACCAGUGUUUAAAUAACAUAAAACAAUUGGACGGAGCAACAUCUGUCAAGGAACUUUCCUUCCGACGCGGCAGAAACAGAGCUGCUGUUCUUCAUACAGGAAAGAAAGAAGGAUUUUCAAGAAUUGUCCGGUGAUGACUAUUUUGCUAAGAAUAUUGAGUUUGCUACCUGGCUUAAAGAAGAGAAGAAUGUGUUUUACGUGAGUUGCUUGCAGAAUUUGUCAAAGCUUGGAAUAAAGGAAAGCUUGAAUCGAAUUAUUAUGAAGUCAUUAAAACUGCGCCUCGCACAGCCCAUAAAUGGAAAAUCAAAAAGUAGAUUUGAAGAAAGAGCAAUCAUUUUGAUCCAAUCUCUCUAUAAACCCUUUGUUUGUUUAGAUUUACUUGAAACUCAGUAAGUAUAGAUGUUAUUUAUCUAUAUAAAUUUCGUAGU
This is a long non-coding RNA of Medicago truncatula (barrel medic), 1250 nucleotides long. RefSeq lists it as uncharacterized. Lineage: Eukaryota; Viridiplantae; Streptophyta; Magnoliopsida; Fabales; Fabaceae. The record is from RefSeq and is a predicted model, not a curated record. The transcript has 3 exons.